This 487-nucleotide ribosomal RNA is filed under the name uncultured bacterium. RNAcentral's name for it is "bacterial SSU rRNA". It matches the Rfam family "Bacterial small subunit ribosomal RNA", at positions 310 to 811 of the family's 1533-position model. The record is from RNAcentral.
ACACUGGGACUGAGAUACGGCCCAGACUCCUACGGGAGGCAGCAGUAAGGAAUAUUGCGCAAUGGGCGAAAGCCUGACGCAGCGACGCCGCGUGACUGAUGAAGUCUUUCGGGAUGUAAAGGUCUUUUCUGAAGGAAGAACACAAUGACGGUACUUCAGGAAUAAGCCCCGGCUAACUACGUGCCAGCAGCCGCGGUAAUACGUAGGGGGCGAGCGUUAAUCGGAAUUACUGGGCGUAAAGCGUGCGCAGGCGGUUAUAUAAGACAGAUGUGAAAUCCCCGGGCUCAACCUGGGACCUGCAUUUGUGACUGUAUAGCUAGAGUACGGUAGAGGGGGAUGGAAUUCCGCGUGUAGCAGUGAAAUGCGUAGAUAUGCGGAGGAACACCGAUGGCGAAGGCAAUCCCCUGGACCUGUACUGACGCUCAUGCACGAAAGCGUGGGGAGCAAAUAGGAUUAGAUACCCUGGUAGUCCACGCCCUAAACGAUG